RNAcentral lists this ribosomal RNA (427 nucleotides) under uncultured bacterium. RNAcentral describes it as "partial 16S ribosomal RNA". It matches the Rfam family "Bacterial small subunit ribosomal RNA", at positions 355 to 774 of the family's 1533-position model. The record is from RNAcentral.
UGGGGAAUAUUGCACAAUGGGCGCAAGCCUGAUGCAGCCAUGCCGCGUGUAUGAAGAAGGCCUUCGGGUUGUAAAGUACUUUCAGCGAGGAGGAAGGCGGUAAGGUUAAUAACCUUAUCGAUUGACGUUACUCGCAGAAGAAGCGCCGGCUAACUCCGUGCCAGCAGCCGCGGUAAUACGGAGGGUGCAAGCGUUAAUCGGAAUUACUGGGCGUAAAGCGCACGCAGGCGGUCUGUCAAGUCGGAUGUGAAAUCCCCGGGCUCAACCUGGGAACUGCAUUCGAAACUGGCAGGCUAGAGUCUUGUAGAGGGGGGUAGAAUUCCAGGUGUAGCGGUGAAAUGCGUAGAGAUCUGGAGGAAUACCGGUGGCGAAGGCGGCCCCCUGGACAAAGACUGACGCUCAGGUGCGAAAGCGUGGGGAGCAAACA